GCCCGGGGACGGCCCCGGAUCAUUCGAGUCAACGGGGACGGCCCC
RNAcentral lists this non-coding RNA (45 nucleotides) under Burkholderia sp. RNAcentral describes it as "Guanidine-II sequence". It matches the Rfam family "Guanidine-II riboswitch aptamer (mini-ykkC)". Rfam says of the family: Simpler in structure and has fewer highly conserved nucleotide positions than the ykkC-yxkD leader. Despite this each of its two stem-loop structures directly bind free guanidine. RNAcentral also lists the same sequence under 1 other name. The record is from RNAcentral. Lineage: Bacteria; Pseudomonadati; Pseudomonadota; Betaproteobacteria; Burkholderiales; Burkholderiaceae.